RNAcentral lists this signal recognition particle RNA (269 nucleotides) under bacterium. RNAcentral describes it as "signal recognition particle sRNA large type". It matches the Rfam family "Bacterial large signal recognition particle RNA". From Rfam's summary of the family: The signal recognition particle (SRP) is a universally conserved ribonucleoprotein involved in the co-translational targeting of proteins to membranes. The record is from RNAcentral.
CCGUGCUAGAUGGGGAGGUAGCGGUGCCCUGUACCCGAAAUCCGCUUUACGCGGGGUUGAACUCCCGACCUGAGGAUGUCAUUCUUUUGGUCUGACAGGAUGUAAGUGGUGUUGAGGGUUGGGUCCCACGCGACGGGAUGCUCCGAACCAGGUCAGGUCCUGACGGAAGCAGCCUUAAGGAGAUUUUCUCGUGUGCCGUGGGGGUGCCUGGCCGGAGCUAACUGCGUCCUGUUCCGCAGGGGAGUGGCAAACGACGGUUGGGUGCACGG